AAUCAACGCUGGCGGCGUGCCUCAGACAUGCAAGUCGAACGCGAAAGUUCCCUUCGGGGGGCGAGUAGAGUGGCGCACGGGUGAGUAACACGUAGGUAAUCUACCUUUGGGUGGGGAAUAACAGCCGGAAACGGCUGCUAAUACCGCAUAAUGCAGCGGCUCGACAUCGAGACAGUUGUUAAAGCGGGGGAUCGCAAGACCUCGCGCCUAAAGAGGAGCCUGCGGCGGAUUAGCUUGUUGGUGAGGUAAUGGCUCACCAAGGCAUCGAUCCGUAGCCGGCCUGAGAGGGCGGUCGGCCACACUGACACUGACAUACGGGUCAGACUCCUACGGGAGGCAGCAGUCGGGAAUUUUGGGCAAUGGGCGCAAGCCU
Molecule: ribosomal RNA, 373 nt
Filed under: uncultured bacterium
Lineage: Bacteria
Description: bacterial SSU rRNA
Rfam family: Bacterial small subunit ribosomal RNA
Source: RNAcentral